Molecule: long non-coding RNA, 431 nt
Filed under: Homo sapiens (human)
Lineage: Eukaryota; Metazoa; Chordata; Mammalia; Primates; Hominidae
Description: HSALNT0207215
Source: RNAcentral
GUCUUUUUAAUGUGGCCACUAGACAAUGAAAAGCACAUCUUCGGCUCAUGCUGUGUUUCUAUUGGACGGCCCUGGCCCAGGGCAGCGGUUCUCAGCCGGCUGUACUUUAGCAUCACCUGCAGAGCCCUAGAGAAGCACAGAGGCACCAGGCUCAGCCAAACCAGCACGGCCUGCAUCCCCGGGGUGAGGCCAGGGGGUCUGUAGUUUCCACCAUCUUUCCAGGGGGCUGGCAGGGCUGAGGCGGUGGAGGAGGGGACGGCUCAGCCAUGGGGCCUCUCAGGUGUAAUGGUCUAAAAUUCUGUCUUCCUUAAUUUCUUGAGAGUUUGACUCUUAGAUGUCAGCAGUAAAGCUAUGGGCCAUUGGUAUAUGAUUCUAGCCCCAAACCAAUCAGUUCCCUCCACUGUCUGCAGUUGGUACCAGGUUAUCUGGGA